RNAcentral lists this ribosomal RNA (789 nucleotides) under Thelohanellus wangi. Its description in RNAcentral is "bacterial SSU rRNA". It matches the Rfam family "Eukaryotic small subunit ribosomal RNA", at positions 305 to 983 of the family's 1831-position model. The record is from RNAcentral. Lineage: Eukaryota; Metazoa; Cnidaria; Myxozoa; Bivalvulida; Myxobolidae.
UUCUGCCCUAUCAACUUGUUGGUAAGGUAUUGGCUUACCAAGGUUGCAACGGGUAACGGGGAAUCAGGGUUCGAUUCCGGAGAGGGAGCCUGAGAAACGGCUACCACAUCCAAGGAAGGCAACAGGCGCGCAAAUUACCCAAUCUAGACAGUAGGAGGUGGUGAAGAGAAUUACUAGGUGGUGACACAAUGUGUUACCAGUUUGGAAUGAACGUAACUUAAGAAAUUCGAUGAGAAACAACUGGAGGGCAAGUCCUGGUGCCAGCAGCCGCGGUAAUUCCAGCUCCAGUAGUUUGCUUUAAAGUUGUUGCGUUUAAAACGCUCGUAGUUGGAUCACGCAGCAGUGCCCAGUAAUCGGCUUCCUGACUCUUGCCAAUGAAACCUACUUCGGUAGUCUUUCGGUAGCUGUCGGAAGCAGAUGCCUACGCUGGGCAUUGUUAGUUGCACGUGAGAUGAAUUGUUGGCCUUUAUUGAGCCGGUAUUCUCGUCUUGCGGAGUGUGCCUUGAAUAAAACAGAGUGCUUAAAGCAGGUUAUUGCCUGAAUGUUAUAGCAUGGAACGAACAAUCGUGUAUAUGUAUGCACCCUUGAGUGGCAACGAGCCUUAGGUUUGUUGUCGGUCAGGAUGUAUACGGCACCCACCAAAAUAUGGCUGUUGGUUCCAUAUACGGUGAUGAUUAAAAGGAGCGGUUGGGGGCAUCGGUAUUUGGCCGCGAGAGGUGAAAUUCUUAGACCGGCCAAGGACUAACAAAUGCAAAGGCACUUGUCUAGACCGUUUCCAUUAAUCAAGAA